UGUGAGCCCUGGGAACCUCAUGAAUAGUGGGCCAGAAGACAGCUUUAGUUGAAGAAAUCCAAGCACACACACAAUAUACAUGAGCACACAUACAUAACAUAUAUACACGUGUGCACACCUGGACAUGUUUCUUUUUGUACUUUGGAGACAGAGUCUCACCUAGCCUCAUAAAGACCUUCAACUCACUAUGUAGCUAGGGCUGACCUUGAACUCCUGAUCCUUCUACCUCCUAUUCCCCAGUGCUCUGAGCCACUAUUCCUGGUUAUAUUUUUCAUUUUAGACACAGAAGUGACCAUCCUUAUCCACCCAAAUACUCGAUAGAACUUUGAUACAGCGGUAGACUGUGACCCACAUCUACGACUAUCUGACGGUGUGGCACACACCUCCAUGAUACACAGACCACAUACGGAGUCCUGACACACAGAGCCGACACCUCAUGAAACUGAGGCACUGUACCCUUUGAAGACCCCUGUGGGACCAGACAAAGUUAUUUGGAUAGACACUGUGUCUCAAAAAGAAGGGCUCCAUUCUCUCCCCACUUCUUCACUUCUCAGUGAACACCCACCCAUCAUCCAGACUUCCUCUUUAUCCACAAGGAAGAAGGAAAAAGAUCAGCUGAAAUACUGAAAGAUGUGUCUCUAGGUGACUAAGAUCACUGGCCCACAGGCACACAAGAGACCACAGGGAACAGUCAUGGCUAAUGAGGGUGAUCUGAGAAGACACGCUCCUGCUUGGAUUCCUGGCUGAGUUCGAGAGUUCCUGAAGCUAAACAGCAAGCCAAGUUCACAGCUGUCCUUCAAGAAGCAUCUGCAGGUGCUCACAGGGCACAGGACACUGAGGUUUAGUUCACGGUCCCUUCUCUUAGCUACUUUUCUAACCUGUGAUAAAACACCACUUACAGAAGGAAGGAUUCCUUUGAGGCUUACAGUUUCCAGAGGGAUAGGACACCAUGAGCAUCAUGGCGGGGAGCUUGGCAGCAGGCAGGCAGGCAUGGGGCUGGAGCAGCCGCUGAGAGCUCACAUCCCGAUCCGCAAAGAGGAAGUAAAGCAGAGUAGGAGGGACACAAAUCUUUUGAAACCUUAAGCCUACUCCAAGUGAAACACCUCCUUCUAGUCCUUCCCAAACAGUUCCAUUAACUGCAGACCAAUUAUUCAAACAUAUGAACCUACUGGGGCUGUUCUUAUCCAAAUCCACCACAUCAAUGUCAAGUCAGUUUUCUACUCUAAACAUCCAGGCACCUUGACUGCAGGCCACAGCUCCUCAUCCUAAGCCAGUGGGCUUCAUUUACUUUUCCCACUGACCGGUUAUCCUCUUUGCGAGUUCACGGGUGCCUCACAGAUCCAUACACCACCUCGAAGCCACACAACAACAACCAUGGUGGCCUUCCUGAGUGCAUUCUUCCAAGAGAUGCUCGGCUUCAGUCUUUUCU
Mus musculus (house mouse) is the source of this 1429-nucleotide long non-coding RNA. RefSeq annotates it as predicted gene, 39881. NCBI's taxonomy places the organism in Eukaryota, Metazoa, Chordata, Mammalia, Rodentia, Muridae. The record is from RefSeq and is a predicted model, not a curated record. The transcript is spliced from 3 exons.